AGUAUGAACUGACCCAUGUUUUUCAAGAGCACGGCACGAGUUUAGAGCAGUGCAUCGUGAUAACUCGAGAACUCGACGACAACUUGGAUGAUUUGCGAGCAGACGAAUAUGCGGAUGUGACGUAAGGAAAACCGCGCAAAAGAACCUGGAAUGUCUGCAAAAGGCUCCGAAAACUGAAACAAGAAAUAUUGCCUCAAUAGGUAUCGGAUCAGUACAUCUUGCCGUUCCAAACCUCUUGGGUUCCGGGAGGUGUCCGUGUAGGCGGUGGCCGGAUGCAUCAAACAUACCUAGACAGGAUGGGAAAGCACGUUUAUGACGUAAUCAAAAGACGUCUGCUUAAAGGCUUCAAAGAAGAAAGUCACGAUCACAAAAAGCAUUCAAAACUGUUUGAUGAAGUUUCAUAGCAUGUUCUCUUUUAUCAACAGAGGUAACACAAGGUUUACGGAAGGUCGGUGGUUCUAUCCAGGUGCCCGCCCGUGAUGAAAUAAUGCACGGAGGGGCACCUGGGUUUUUCCUUCACCAUUAAAGCUGGAAAGUCGCCAUAUGACCAAAAAAAUAAUCAAAAAAAAUAAUUCCGUACAAACGAAACUCUAUUUAAAUAUGGUACUUGUGUAGAUAUUUAUAAAAGACAUUACAUAGGUGUUAUUAACAUCCACAUUAGUAAUUCUUUGACGGCUGUGAAAAGCUGCCCCGUACCUGGACUCUGACAGUGUUGUUGUGAUUGUUGUUUCUGUUAUUUCUAUUCCUUUAGGGACAUUGAGUUCUUUCAAUGCUGCUUUAUAAAGAGUUCCGCUUUAGCCGGUGUAGGGGUGUAUUGCAAUUCUCAUUACCUCACACGAACAGACACGGUAAGUUGAUAUAUGCUUCCAAAGUAUUUAUUCAUAAAUAUGAAUAUUCACAUUCUUUCAGAUCUCAGAAUUAUCAGGGCAUGAAAGAAACGUUACAUGUUCCACGUGUUAUUCUGUUCUUGUUGUACAUGGGCGCUCGGGCUGUGGAAAUUCGUCUGUUCUUGCUAAAGCAGAAAAAGAAAUACAUCGAUGACUUAGAGGCCAGAAUGUUGCGACUGAGGUACGGUCUUUUGGUUCAACGAAAGAAUCCACAAGUAUUCGGAACCUCUUGUACAAUAUCUGUCAACAACUUUUCCUGAUAUACAACGCAGAAUCCAGUCAAGUACCAACGGUACGUAGAAUUAAAUACAUUGCUUCGAUUUUAAAGUUAAAAAAAGCUUUAGAUUUUAUAUUGAAAACAGAUGAAACAGCCAUCCAAAUAGAAGUAAUGCAUACUUAUAUGGUUACAAAGCGCUACUUUCAAUGCUGCACAUUAACUUUUACAUUUAAGGGAGGAGGUAUUUAAAAAAAAGAAAAACAAUAUAUUAAAUAAAAACUUUCUACUUUGCUCAGUAGUAUUCAAACCUUUGACAAAUACUGAAGAAAACAAUAAUGGUAAAUACUUUAAAUAGGACUUAACACGAAAUUGGUGUAUUUUAAGUUCAUAACGGAAAAAAGCGGCUACCACAUCUGAAAAAGGUAUUAUGAGCCUUAAAUAAUUUCAGUAAACAACAAUGUUUAAACGUGCCUUGUUAAAUUGCAAGUAAAUAAAACAUCACUAUGAUAAUUGGUAAAGUAAGCAGAAUUCUGUAUCCAGUAUCAAGUUGUUAUGUACGUAUACACGCAAUACGUUCCGAAUGAAAACCCCUUUGUUCUUAAAUCUUUUGUUCAAUGAAGCUUUGAAGUGGGCGACUUACACUGUCCUGGAGUCAAAGGUACCCGAUUCAGUGAAAAAAAUGGCGGCAAUCAAAUUUGGGCAGUUGGAGAUGAAAUACGGCGAAGCACUUGUUCGUUGAGCUAUAGGUUACAUAGCAGUAUCACGGAAUGGAGUGAUGGACCACGAGAUGUUAGACCUCUUUUCAUUGGUUGACGCGGUUAUGGGUGAAAUUGCUCCACAUUACAACUUGUUUCAUUGUGGUAUCGCAUCCUAGAAGAGUUGUUCCUAUACAUACAGGAGGUGAAAGCGGACAAAAUGGUCCCAUUCCCAUUUCUGUGAGGCAGCCAAUCCAGCGUGACAAGGCACCGUCAUACCAUAAAGUGAUGGCAGAUUAUUUCCUUGACCUAAACCCCUACCUUGGAAAUGACAAGGGUGUUUUGCGAUACGUGUCCGAACAACCGCUCUACUUGGAAUCGAAAGAUGCGAUCAACGACGGCUCUAUGCAUGUUUACAAACUGCAAAAAUUUAAUGAACUCCCACAUCAUUUACUCUUGUCGAAUUUAGUGCAGCAACACAAAACUGAGACAAUGUGCGGUUUUGAAUGGGCACUAGCCAAACUAUGCGGAACCUCUCUCCGAAGUCUCGUAAAAGAGUACCACAUUGGCAUUGAAAUGGAGCCGUCCUACCUUGACCUUAAAUUAAUGUCGGAUACUCUUCAGCUUUCAGCAACAGCAAUACAACGCGAUCCACGACAGUUGGCCGGUCAAGUGGUUGGGUGACUGCAAGGUGUUGUAAACAGGGAUAUUCCCUCCACUCUCGGAGAUCCACCGCGGUACCCGUUUAUACAUUCAAUGGUAACACAAGCAAAGAAUACGUCGAUACCAGCACUACAGUUCCAUCUAUAGAGUGUCUUACAGAAACUGGAGGUAUAUUGUAUGACUUUUUAUCUGGUCACACGAAGCUUAUAACUCCUGUUACAACGAUCACAGACGCACAACGAGCCUUAACUGCAUCAGAGGACUGCAUUUAAGAAUAAAUAUAUAAUUUCAGAAGAAGGUAGUUUCAUUAAAGUGUGGUCACUGGCAGACAAGGAAUGUUGUUUACUUGUUGACCAGUACUUGGACCCACCUAUUUUAAGUGAAGCCGGGGAAGGAAAACUUCUUGUAGCGUUCUUUCAAGGAGUGCAUUGAAAACAUGGGUCUGAGUGAUCAAUUCAGGCAUGUAUGCGAAACGAAAAUUGAAGGCGACAGUGUGUUUAUUGACAAUUCUGUCGUACUCGCUUCAAAUUCAUAUGGCGGUCACGUGUUGCUCGCGUUUAGAGGAGCAAAUUCGGCGAUGAUCCAGCAUGCGCAAAACUCACGCAUUGGGACAGAAGAACUGAAAGCAACGCCGCGAGACAGAAACGUCGAGAGAAGGCGCGGGAAAAAGAGAGAAAACAUCUGGAAGAGAUUCUGAAAAAGAAGCAAAAUGCAUUUGCACAGUUCAUUAUCAGUGGAGACUUAAAUGGUAUUGUUGCGUUCGCACAUCACUUAUACGUCUUUAACGUAGAUUCGAAAUUGCACAUGCAGACAUUAGAGAAUGAAAGUUCAAUGUUGUUUCUGCGGCCUUGAACUAUGAUGGCAGUUGUCAUGUUCAUACAAACUAUGACGAAACAUCAAAAGUGAGUUAUGUCACAUUAUGGGAUACUGAAACAGGUCAAGUAAAGAAGCGUCUUAAAAAACGAAAUUGAUGUUCUUGCUAUUGCGAUAACAGAUGAUGGUUCCCGUAUUGUUUUUGGAAAAGCAAACAAAGAAUUGCGCAUUUGGGAUCCAAAUAGAAAGACCCCAGAUGCUAUAGAGAGGAUUAAAGGCUACGAUAGUUUGGAAUUUGGUGUUGGAAGACAACUAAUUACCCUCAACAAUGGAAAACGUGUUGUCGUUUUUGCAGGUGAUAUUUCUGUUUGGGACUUAAAGAAUGCCACCCUUUUGGCUGCCUUCACACCAGAUACACGAACCGAGGUAGUGAAUGCUGUAAUGAGCGGUCAGCUGAUUACAAUAGGCGUGCACGAAUUUUACGAACUCGUUGUUCUGAAAAUAAGCGGGAAAGAUGUUAAAGCGAUUUUUGAUGUUGAACAUGAAGAAUUGUUCGGAGAAAUAACUGGUGACACAUCUGAUGAAGAAAAUGAUGAAGAUAAUGAUUACAUUAAAUUAAGUUUAAAGCAACUACACGUAGGUCGAUGAAAAUGUACAGUGUAGAUCUAGUUACAAAUUUAUCAGUGAAUGCAAAUGGAUUUCGUUGUCGCCUAUCUCCGGCAUGGCGCUAAACAGGCGUCGUUGUAAAUAGGUAUCGUUGAAAGCAGUCAGGUAUUGAAACAAGAAUAGAACAAAUGUUAAAUAUGGCGGACAAACGGAUUACAUAAUUAAUAUAUGAAAUAGCUGUACAUGAUGUUAAUUCGAUCGAACAAGUUUUAAGUUAGUUCCGGCCGCUGAAGUAAUGAUAACUUGAUGGCAAUGGUGGUGCAUACUAAAAAAACGGAAAAGAAAAGGUGCCUAAAAGAUUCUUUAAAGAUAUACCAUGCUCGUGUUUCACUAAAAUAUUUUAUUAUAAGAUAUCGACUUAAAUGUAUAAAAGUGGAGCCGCAAUCACAAUAAAUAUUAUAUCCAGUAACAGUAAUGCGUUAAAACCAGUGGUGUAAAAUAUUCCUAAGUGUUAUAUACAAUUAUUUAGUGUGUAGAAUUUUAAACCUAAUACACUGUACUGUGUAUUCACACUAACCUGUUUAUUCUUUGUCUACAUAAUUACUGUAAAAAUAAUUGUUAAAGAUUUGGGCAUAAUGCAUCUUCAAAGAAACUUAAUUACAGUUUGCAAUUCAGUUGAACAUGCAUUUGUUAAUUUUACAUUGCUGGGUAUACCUGCAGACAAUGGUAGCUUAUAAAGUUAUAUAUUUGUAAGUUAUUUCGCUGUUUUUUUUUUCUGUAUAAUUUUCUGUCUAUUUUAGGAAUGAUACAUAUACUUAUAUUUGAACUGUUUAAAUUUUGAA
Molecule: long non-coding RNA, 4723 nt
Organism: Mercenaria mercenaria
Lineage: Eukaryota; Metazoa; Mollusca; Bivalvia; Venerida; Veneridae
Exons: 3
Source: RefSeq, a predicted model, not a curated record